GGACACGUAGCUCAGCUGGAUAGAGCGCCACCCUCCGGAGGUGGAAGUCGUGGGUUCGAAUCCCGCCGUGUUCACUA
Molecule: transfer RNA, 77 nt
Filed under: Sediminispirochaeta sp.
Lineage: Bacteria; Pseudomonadati; Spirochaetota; Spirochaetia; Spirochaetales; Spirochaetaceae
Description: tRNA-Arg
Rfam family: tRNA
About the family: Transfer RNA (tRNA) molecules are approximately 80 nucleotides in length.
Source: RNAcentral